AUGCCGUCGUGUCUGCCCUACUACGCGCCCGUGUCCUCCGAUGAACCUGAGGAGUCCUCCGUGUCCACCGUCGUCGCCACGGCGGUCGGCACCGGGCACCACACGCUCAGGGUCCAGGGCUACUCGCGACUCGAGACCAUGCACGGCGGCAACGGCACCUACGUGGAGUCCAGCGCGUUCAAGGCAGCAGGCCACACCUGGAGGAUCUAUUGCUACCUCGACGGGAAGCGCCCGGAGGACGCCGGCUUCGUCUCGCUAUUCCUCAUGUGCGACCCCGCCAAUGCCUCCACCGGCAACGCCCUCGCCGCCGAUGCCACCACCGGCAACGCCCCCGCCCCCGAUGCCUCCACCGACAACGCCCCUGCCACCGCCGCCGCUGCUGAGAGUGUCGUCCACGCGGAGUAUGAGUUCGCCCUGGUGCACCACCGAGGCACGCUGAUAAAGUGGCCGUCGCGCAGCGUGCGCGGGAGCGCCUCCGCCUUUUGCUCGAGCAAGAUGUGGGGCUUCCUGCGGUUCAUCAGCAAGGAGGACCUGGAGGGCUCCAGGUUCCUCAAGGACGACUGCUUUGCCGUCAGGUGCAAGGUCACCGUCCUUCAGGAGUUGGCCAUCAAGGAAGAGGACGCGAGGCCCCUUGGCCCUGGGAAGGCGUUUGCUAGGUUUCUAUGUAGUUCCAUCCGUGGAUAG
Molecule: ribosomal RNA, 684 nt
Filed under: Triticum aestivum (bread wheat)
Lineage: Eukaryota; Viridiplantae; Streptophyta; Magnoliopsida; Poales; Poaceae
Description: partial small subunit ribosomal RNA
Source: RNAcentral